UACGAAGGGUGCAAACGUUGCUCGGAAUUAUUGGGCGUAAAGCGCACGUAGGCGGCAUUGCAAGUCGGAUGUGAAAUCCCUCGGCUUAACCAAGGAAGUGCAUCCGAAACUGCAGUGCUUGAGUACUUAAGAGGAUCGCGGAAUUCCCGGUGUAGAGGUGAAAUUCGUAGAUAUCGGGAGGAACACCAGUGGCGAAGGCGGCGAUCUGGGAAGAUACUGACGCUGAGGUGCGAAAGCGUGGGAGCAAACAGG
This 252-nucleotide ribosomal RNA is filed under the name uncultured bacterium. RNAcentral's name for it is "partial 16S ribosomal RNA". It matches the Rfam family "Bacterial small subunit ribosomal RNA", at positions 524 to 776 of the family's 1533-position model. The record is from RNAcentral.